UCCUGCUAGACUCUGCUGUCCUAUUAAAGUUUCUCCCUGCCCUGCACGUGAUGUCUGCCUCCGCUCCUCCUUUACAUCUGCUGCGCCCUGGAGCUGUCGGAUCUGUAACACUGAGAGCUUCUGUAACACAUGUGGGUCCAUUAUACUACUCUCCCAGCUUCUGUAAAAGUUUAGGAGCCAGCAGGAAGAGACCUUGCAAGUUGGACUUGAAUCUGAGAAGAAUGAAUCAGAAAAACUACAGAUGAGCGACUCAUCUCCAACUCCCUACUACUCUCUGUGUGACUGUCUUCAGUUUUACUAUCUGGUUUUGUUCUCUUUUCCAAGUGCCGAAUUCAUCACUCCCUCUCCCAACUGUCAGAUAGGAAUGUUAGCCUUCCCCAUCUGAAAUUGGGGCCUGCUGCGGGAGAAGCCACCUGUUAAUGUUAGGCUGAAAUCUCUGUUACCAACAGGGGGUUGCAGUGCCAUGAUUUACUUAACCACUACCCUACUGAGUACUUCUGUUUCUCAGAUUAUUACUAUUACAGUCUUGCAAAAAAAAUUCCUGUAACUAUAUCUUUCUAUGUAUGCAUGUGCACAUAUGCAUAGUUGAAUUCUUUUAAAAAAUUCUAUUUAUUUAUUCGUUUAUUUUACCAGAGCACUGCUCAGCUCUGGUUUAUGGUGGUGCAGGGGAUUGAACCUGGGACUUCGGAGCCUCAGGCAUGAGAGUUUCUUUGCAUAACCCUUAUGCUAUCUACCCCUGCCCCAUAGG
This is a long non-coding RNA of Erinaceus europaeus (western European hedgehog), 748 nucleotides long. RefSeq lists it as uncharacterized. The transcript is spliced from 3 exons. NCBI's taxonomy places the organism in Eukaryota, Metazoa, Chordata, Mammalia, Eulipotyphla, Erinaceidae. The record is from RefSeq and is a predicted model, not a curated record.